This is a long non-coding RNA of Jaculus jaculus (lesser Egyptian jerboa), 927 nucleotides long. RefSeq lists it as uncharacterized. The transcript has 3 exons. NCBI's taxonomy places the organism in Eukaryota, Metazoa, Chordata, Mammalia, Rodentia, Dipodidae. The record is from RefSeq and is a predicted model, not a curated record.
UUCAUCUCGAGCCUGUGAUUUCUUUUAGGCAUUUCAAGAUGCAACAUCAACUUGCCCAAUCUCAGGAGGCACGUGAGUAGAAGUAUUUCUCUGACAAAGAUGCUAAUUGUCAUCUUUCUUGGAGGACGGGUGGGACACAGCACUCACUGCACAACCAGUACGGCCUCACAGCGAGAUAACUCCACUGCUAUUGUCCUACUCCGUAAUCACUUAAAUACCAACUGAGAGACGGGACAAUGUAAAGCAUCCCAAGCCUGAUGUUCAUACAUGCCUCUGUACCAGCACUUCUGUUGCCUUAUAUUUAAAACCAAAAUGGUUAAUGAAAACUCCACAUGUCAGCAUUGUGGCUCCAAAGUGAAUGUGAACAGCUGAGGCUGCCCUGGGGGAUCAGCUCUGUGCUAAAUCAAAGAAGACUGGUCCAUUCAGAUGUGUGUCCUGCUACUUGGUGAGACUAUUGAUUACAGCACAUAGAAGAAAACCUUAUGAAUAUCUUUAUUUCUUUCAUUGUUUCUUCUCACUGCAAGUGUCCUGAGGGCCCCCUAACCAACACAUCUUCAUUCAUCUUGCUUAUGUAAAUACCAUAUGAAUUCUACUGCUACAUGGAAAAAAAAUAAGUUUCAUCUAAACAGAAAUUGGCUCAUUCACAACAGAACAUUUGGAAAACUAGCAAUAGCCAAUAAACCUAGAAUUGUUUUUCCCAAAGCUAUGCUUCUCUAUGUUAAUCAAACUCUUCCAAUGGGUUCAGCUUAGGCAAUGAAUGCUGACUAAAUAAUUGAUGAUAUAUUUAAAAUGAAAUAUUAAAAACAUAGUGUAAGUUGGAAAAUUCAGUAAGCUUAUAUCUGCUCCUGGGUAUUUCAUGAAUAAUUGUAAUAAUCACUUAUUAAGAACUUAGUUUUUGAUUUUAAAAUGUAAUAAAAUUGUUAAGAU